CCUACGGGCGGCAGCAGUGGGGAAUAUUGGACAAUGGGGGGAACCCUGAUCCAGCCAUGCCGCGUGUGUGAAGAAGGCCCUCGGGUUGUAAAGCACUUUCAGUGAGGAAGAACGCCUGGUGGUUAAUACCCAUCAGGAAAGACAUCACUCACAGAAGAAGCACCGGCUAACUCCGUGCCAGCAGCCGCGGUAAUACGGAGGGUGCGAGCGUUAAUCGGAAUUACUGGGCGUAAAGCGCGCGUAGGUGGCUUGAUAAGCCGGUUGUGAAAGCCCCGGGCUCAACCUGGGAACGGCAUCCGGAACUGUCAAGCUAGAGUGCAGGAGAGGAAGGUAGAAUUCCCGGUGUAGCGGUGAAAUGCGUAGAGAUCGGGAGGAAUACCAGUGGCGAAGGCGGCCUUCUGGACUGACACUGACACUGAGGUGCGAAAGCGUGGGUAGCAAACAGGAUUAAUACCCGAGUAGUC
Molecule: ribosomal RNA, 464 nt
Filed under: Vreelandella stevensii
Lineage: Bacteria; Pseudomonadati; Pseudomonadota; Gammaproteobacteria; Oceanospirillales; Halomonadaceae
Description: partial 16S ribosomal RNA
Rfam family: Bacterial small subunit ribosomal RNA
Source: RNAcentral